GUGUAAAUGCCCUUAAGUCGACUGCGCUUUAGAAUCACUUGGGGAUCAUCUAAAAAAUACCAAUUCCUGGGGCCAACCCCUAGGGAGUCUGAUUUCACUGGUCUGAGGCCACGCCUCCUCAUCCACACCGUUUAAAAAGCUUCCCAAGCCAGGCAACAACUGAGCUGAGCGUCUGGACCUGAACCGCCCUGCAGGGAAAGGCAACGGAAGCUCUUGCUAGGGUAGCAACUAUGAGCUCAAAUCCACCGUCCCCCUCCCCGACUUCAGGACUCCAGGUUGUGGUUCGAACCCGCCUUUGGCAGCUCCUUCAAACGGGAACCAGCCCCAUCACUUUGUAACGUUCGGCGUUGGCGCAGGGGUCUGCAGCUUCCGCCUGCCCGAAACUUGGUGCUGGCUGACCCUGAAGGCGGCCCUGUGAGAGGGAGGCAAGAGAGCGAGCUGAUCCGGGCACCGCACAGGCGGAGGCCGAGACUCUGUCAGGAGUGGAGAAGGCGCUGCUGCCAGCUUAAGAUGCCUAACACCUGAUGGGUCCUGUCGCCAGCUCCACGGCUCCUGGCAGUUGGUUCAUCCCUUGAGCUGAUGACUUUACGUUGUUCUAUAAGAGCACUGCCCAAAAGAAAUACAACAUGAGCUACAAAUAAAGCUGGGCGGGAGCUGUGGUGGCCAUGAAGAUGCACCGCUCAGAUCUCCUGCAGCUGGGGGCAUAGUGACAGGUAGGAAUCCCCUAUGGCACUUGCAUGAGUCCGCGCUCCCCACGGUCUGCUCCUGGCCAAUGACUGAAUGUGACAGGGCCACUUAUGCAGGCCUGUUCCUGCAAGCCAGGGGACUCCUGUGAUAGGCGACUGGCUCAGACUUUCCUUCAACCUGGCUAAGACACUCUUAGGGCUGUGCUGCACUCUGAACCGGCCUCUCCAGCCGCCCCCUAUUACUUCUCUCUCAUCCUUUGCAGCUCACCUCACCUCCUUCAGUUCCCUCCCCUUUUUCCCUUAUUGGCAUUUCUCUUGAUAAAUUUCUAGCAUGUCUAAACCUGUCUUGGCAUCUGCGUCUAGAAGGACCCAAACUAACACAGGAGCGUAUGGAAGUGAAAUAGAGACUUGCAUUACCCCUAAAAUUGCAUAUUUCUAGAUUAUCUAAAGUAAGAGUUCCAAAGCGCACUGAUAUUGGCGAGAUUCCAAUAAAACCCAAGAGAGAGGAGGAGAGGGUGGAGAAAGGAACUCCUAGGCGCUCUAUUGUGUUCUUAAAGCUUGCAAAUUGAUCCUGAGUAAAAUCCAAAAUCUAAAUAUGGGCAGACUGAAAAGCUUGAAUAGAUAUUUAAACAGCCAAAGUAGAACUCAAGAUUAGUUAAUGGAGGCUGUUUUCACACCCACACAACCUGGCAGAUCAUUGCUGUACAGUCUUUGUCGCAAAAAAUACUACAGAAAUAUGGUUCUUUGAAAACAUCUUCUGUCCCUGUACAAAUGACAUAGGAUCCGGAGGCAUUUCUGCAAAUAAUAUGUUUUCCUAUGCCAGUGUAUAAAUAGCUUUAGAGUAUUGAGAUCAAGAGAAAAUUGCCAAGACUAUUGCUACACUGACAAGAGAAGCAGCUGAUUUGGAGGCUGUGCUGCUAUUUGCUGCUAGUCCAGAAAUUUAAUGAGACGCAGCACAUUGUUGUUUUCACACGACCAGAUAAGAGGGCAGAUCCUGCCAUCUCUGACUCCAUAGAAAAGGCCAGAAUGGGGCCUUCCCAAUUUAACUGCCCUUUGGUGAGAUUUACUUAGCAGGCAAGUGCUUUGCUUCUGUUGGAAAAGAUUGUCUUUUUAAAUGAUGGCCAAACCCAGUUCUCCCCAGCUUUUAAUGCACGUGAUCCUUCUGGGCUGGACCAAACAUACUUCCAUUUUUCCUUUCUACCUUUUGGCAAAACUUAUAAAAGAGGAGAAAGAUCUGCAGAAAAUAUGAAAAUCCAGGAUGUCCUAGCAUACCUUGGAGAUUUGCAUCAUUAAGUAUCCUGAUCCCCUGACAUGCGCACAGUUGCCCCCCGCUAUCAGUUUGGACUUUGCCAUUCCUUCAUUUAUACUUUAAUUCAUGUCUCUCUCUAGACAGCUUACUAUGUGCAGGCACUGUGCAGUGCACUGGGGGGAUAGCAAUGAACCUGACUGGCAAGGUCCCUGCCCUCUGGUAGCACGCACUCUUGCCGGGGAGGAGGGUGGUAAAUAUACAACAUAAUGGAAAUAUGAGUGAUCAGAUAGAGGGACUGGGAAGAGUGGCUUUUACACAGAGUGGUCAGGGAUGCCCUCUGUGAGAAGCCAGCCGUGGAGAAGACCAAAGAGAAAAGGAAACAUCAAGUGCAGACACUUAAGUGGGAAUGAACUUGGCCUGUUCGAGGCACAGAAAGAAGGCUGAGGGGGCUGGAUCACAGGGAGCACAGAAACGUAGUGGGAGAUGAGGUCAGUGUGAAACGCUGGGCCCAAUCUUGUAGGGCCUUAUAGGCCCAGCAUGGUUGGGAGCUUGGGCUUAUUUCAAGUGCUAGGGAAGUUCAUUGGAGUUGUUGGGUUUUUGUUGUUUGUUUUCAGACACAGAUGACUUCAAAUGUUGGAUGUUUCCGUCAAGGAUCUGAGCACUUACAUUUUGCUACUCAUCAAUUGCCCUUAUUUGUUGUAUCUCUUAUUUCCUUGCAGAAUGUGAAUCUUUGUGUCCUCAAAGCCCAGCACGUUGCCUAGCAUAUGUGGAUAUUUAAUAAGUGUUGACUAAAUGAAAAUGCUCCUGAGUAUAGAGAAAGACAAAGUUGUGGUAAAAAUCACUAUGAAACACUAAUAGUUAAUAGGUCAGCAUUGGAUGGAACCCAAUGGGAGGAAAGCGACCAAGUAAGGUCUUGUGUUAUGACAAAUCCCUGGUGAAGAGAGGGGGUGCACUGGCUACUGAUGCUAAUGAGGGAACUUCAGAACAUUCUAACUCAACAUGAGACCCAGGAAAUAGGUACAAUUAUAAAUGCUUUUCAGUGAUUUGCAGAGUAUGUGCCAUAUUUGUCUUCUUGCUGGAUAUGAUCUUGUCUCCCUACUGGAGAAGAAGGGAAAGAGGUUUGAAUAAUCUUCCCUCUUCUGGUUUAUUAAAAGGUAAGGUGAACAUUUGUCCUUCUUUUUGGUUGUUCAGUAUCUGAAAGUCAUUCCCAUGUUUGGAUUUCCCACCCUGUGUCAGUGAAAGAUAGAACAAACCUUCCACUAUAGAAACUGAAAUUCCAGAUACUUCUUUCUCAAUUUCCAUUGCUAGAGUCAAGGAUGACUCAUAGCAUCCACUUGUGAGAUGAAGUCAUGAAGUCGGCAGAAUCAUAGGAAACCCUCCAGUGUCUUUCAGGGUCAGAGGUGGCAGAUUGACCAAGGUUCUGGGGUAGCAAUGCAAGAAGGGCUACUGGAGCCUAGGGUCCAAUUAACCUAUUGCCUACAGAAGUCAUCGUGUCCCUUCUCAGGAAUAAUUUUCCUGGCUAUCUCACUGCGAACUUGACUCUUCAGCCUUCCUAGAGAUUCUGUGAGCCACCCAAUAUUCUUUAAUGAAUUCAUUUUCUGCUUCAACCAUACAGAGUUGAUUUCCAGUCUUUGAAACUAAGAAUUGUGAAUGAUUCAGAAAUUGGAAUGGAGUAGUUACAAGCCUUAGAGCCUUAGAGAAAUAUGGGAUGUAUGUGGAAAUAUGGAAGUGUUUUCUGGCUUGGUUGAGGUUGAAGGCAAUGAAAAUCCAGCUGGUGUUGUUAAGGGCUCUUGUCAUGAUCUGGUGAAGCAGUUAAUCAAAUCAUCACCUGUGUGCACCUAGACUGACUUGCUAUUGAAGGCAAAGCUCUGGGGAACUAAGAGAUCAAUGCUACUAAAUAAUAAGAAGUUCACGGGGAAUUCAAAGACUAUGGGAUGAGAUGGCUUCUACUGCCAAUUGAUAGCUUAAAUAAAAUAAAGAUGCUCAAAUUCCCAAAUUCUCAGUUCAAAGCACAUGCUGAAAACCAGAGGUUUCCAUGGCUUUGUUAAAAGAAUUUCUUACUGCUUGCCACUGAAGUGUGCAGAAAGCCAAAUAUCAAAUGUACAGUUUGAUCUUGAAAUUUUCCGAGAUAAAAAGAGUUGAAUUCACAUCCUUAGCAGUUCUCUUAAGAAAAAGUCAGAGCACUGAUUGGGGAAGAGUGGGCCUGGAGAAUUUCGAUGGGAAGAUUUAGAUGCUUCAUAUAGGCCAUGGCCAGGCAUGCUGCACUGAACUCUUAAGAACACUCAAUUGUCUAAUGAAAAAUAGAAUGCAGGAGUGUGUAAUUUUGGAACAUGAGC
Equus caballus (horse) is the source of this 4271-nucleotide long non-coding RNA. NCBI's taxonomy places the organism in Eukaryota, Metazoa, Chordata, Mammalia, Perissodactyla, Equidae. The record is from Ensembl.